CCUACGGGUGGCAGCAGUGGGGAAUAUUGCGCAAUGGGCGAAAGCCUGACGCAGCGACGCCGCGUGAAGGAUGAAGGUCUUCGGAUCGUAAACCUCUGUCAGCAGGGAAGAACGGUCACUGUGCUAAUCAGCAGUGAAUUGACGGUACCUGCAAAGGAAGCACCGGCUAACUCCGUGCCAGCCGCCGCGGUAAUACGGAGGGUGCGAGCGUUAAUCGGAAUUACUGGGGGUAAAGCGCGCGUAGGCGGUAUGUCAAGUCAAGGGUGAAAUCCCCGCGCUCAACGUGGGAACUGCCUUUGAAACUGGCAAACUGGAGUGUGGGAGAGGAUAGUGGAAUUCCAGGUGUAGGAGUGAAAUCCGUAGAUAUCUGGAGGAACACCAGUGGCGAAGGCGACUAUCUGGCACAUAACUGACGCUGAGGAGCGAAAGCGUGGGUAGCAAACAGGAUUAGAUACCCCUGUAGUC
RNAcentral lists this ribosomal RNA (465 nucleotides) under uncultured bacterium. RNAcentral's name for it is "partial 16S ribosomal RNA". It matches the Rfam family "Bacterial small subunit ribosomal RNA", at positions 338 to 795 of the family's 1533-position model. The record is from RNAcentral.